AGCGAACGCUGGCGGCGUACUUAACACAUGCAAGUCGAACGGGGAGUCGUCGGUGUAGCAAUACAUCGGCGGUUCUAGUGGCGCACGGGUGAGUAACACGUGGGUAACCUGCCCUUGAGUUCGGGAUACCCUUUCGAAAGGAAGGCUAAUACCGGAUACGUUCCUCGGAUUGCGAAGUCUGGGGAGGAAAGGUGGCGCAAGCUGCCGCUCUUGGAGGGGCGUCGCGGCCUAUCAGCUAGNGGUGAGGUAACGGCUCACCAAGGCUAUGACGGGUAG
Molecule: ribosomal RNA, 276 nt
Filed under: uncultured bacterium
Lineage: Bacteria
Description: partial 16S ribosomal RNA
Rfam family: Bacterial small subunit ribosomal RNA
Source: RNAcentral